UCAGUAGUGUAAUUGGUUCUUCACCAAUUGGUACACUGUACAAGGGAACAUUGUCCAGUGGCAUUGAAAUAGCUGUGGCCUCAGUUGCAGUAACAUCUUCCAAGGAUUGGCCUAAGCAUUUGGAAGUUCAAUUUAGGAAGAAGAUUGAGACAUUAUCAAAAGUGAAUCACAAGAAUUUUAUCAACCUUUUUGGAUAUUGUGAGGAGGAGGAUAUUUUACUUCAUUUCUCUUCUCUUCAAUUCCUACUGGAGUCUGUAACAACUCUGCCCGAUAACCAAGGGACUGAUACAAACGCCAUAAUUAGUUUCCAAAGAGCAGCCCAUUUUGCAAUUGCUAAUGCCAAGAACAUCAAAUUGUUUGAACGUGUUGAUUUGUGUAUUAUCUAUGAUAGCUUUGAGGAGACACAACCAAACUUCACUUCUGGAGAUCAUAUGAAGAUCCAACCUACUCUCAUACCCUCCUAACUCUGACAGAAUGAAACUCCAUGGUUAUGCAAUUAGCUUUCCAACAGGCAACCUUGAGCUUAAAAUCUUGAGUUGACCAGAGAGGAAGGGAAGAGAACCAUGAGUUGAGAGAAUCGGGGUUAGUCAAAUCGGAUGAAUUGGGAGGAAACGGUCGGAGGGAGAACGAGGCAAAGAGGAUGGGAGAUGGGUUUGUGGUCUGAGUAUGAUUUGAAAGAUGGUAGAGGAUGAAGGAGGGAUAAGCCCAGUUGGUGGGUUAACAAGGAACUUGUGCGGCGAUGAAGUUUGGACCUUGAAUGCUAUUGGGGUAGUGGCGGAAAGAGACCUGAGGCGGACGUUGGCUCGGCAUUUGGAAUUGAGCAUAAAGUCUAGACGAACCUCUGAGUCU
This is a long non-coding RNA of Manihot esculenta (cassava), 849 nucleotides long. RefSeq lists it as uncharacterized. The transcript has 5 exons. The record is from RefSeq and is a predicted model, not a curated record. NCBI's taxonomy places the organism in Eukaryota, Viridiplantae, Streptophyta, Magnoliopsida, Malpighiales, Euphorbiaceae.